RNAcentral lists this ribosomal RNA (463 nucleotides) under uncultured bacterium. RNAcentral's name for it is "bacterial SSU rRNA". It matches the Rfam family "Bacterial small subunit ribosomal RNA", at positions 38 to 518 of the family's 1533-position model. The record is from RNAcentral.
GGCGGCGUGCCUAACACAUGCAAGUCGAGCGAGGAGAUCCUUCGGGAUGAUCCUAGCGGCGGACGGGUGAGUAACACGUGGGCAACCUGCCUCAUAGAGAGGAAUAGCCUUCCGAAAGGGAGAUUAAUACCUCAUAACAUUGCAGUUUCGCAUGGAACAGCAAUUAAAGGAGUAAUCCGCUAUGAGAUGGGCCCGCGGCGCAUUAGCUAGUUGGUGAGGUAAUGGCUCACCAAGGCGACGAUGCGUAGCCGACCUGAGAGGGUGAUCGGCCACAUUGGGACUGAGACACGGCCCAGACUCCUACGGGAGGCAGCAGUGGGGAAUAUUGCACAAUGGGGGAAACCCUGAUGCAGCCAACGCCGCGUGAGUGAUGACGGCCUUCGGGUUGUAAAGCUCUGUCUUCAGGGACGAUAAUGACGGUACCUGAGGAGGAAGCCACGGCUAACUACGUGCCAGCAGCAGC